GACGAACGCUGGCGGCGUGCCUCAGACAUGCAAGUCGAACGCUGCUGUUCGCCUUCGGGUGGACAGCGGAGUGGCGCACGGGUGAGUAACACGUAGGUAAUCUACCUUUGGGUGGGAAUAACAGCCGGAAACGGCUGCUAAUACCGCAUAAUGCAGCGGCAUCACAUGAUGACAGUUGUUAAAGCGAGGGAUCGUAAGACCUCGCGCCUGAAGAGGAGCCUGCGGCAGAUUAGGUAGUUGGUGAGGUAAUGGCUCACCAAGCCUGCGAUCUGUAACCGGCCUGAGAGGGCGGUCGGUCACACUGACACUGACAUACGGGUCAGACUCCUACGGGA
This 335-nucleotide ribosomal RNA is filed under the name uncultured bacterium. RNAcentral's name for it is "partial 16S ribosomal RNA". It matches the Rfam family "Bacterial small subunit ribosomal RNA", at positions 28 to 346 of the family's 1533-position model. The record is from RNAcentral.